CAGCAGUCGCCGCGGGAAUACGUAGGGGGCAAGCGUUGUCCGGAAUCAUUGGGCGUAAAGAGCGUGUAGGCGGCUCGGUAAGUCCGCUGUGAAAGUCCAGGGCUCAACCCCGUGACGCACUGGAAACUGGGAGACUUGAGUGCAGAAGAGGAGAGCGGAAUUCCACGUGUAGCGGUGAAAUGCGUAGAGAUGUGGAGGAACACCAGUGGCGAAGGCGACUAUCUGGGCCAACACUGACACUGAGGCACGAAAGCGUGGGGAGCAAACAGGAUUAGAUACCCCGGUAGUCCCUGUCUCUUAUACA
This 304-nucleotide ribosomal RNA is filed under the name uncultured bacterium. RNAcentral describes it as "partial 16S ribosomal RNA". It matches the Rfam family "Bacterial small subunit ribosomal RNA", at positions 509 to 808 of the family's 1533-position model. The record is from RNAcentral.